RNAcentral lists this microRNA precursor (76 nucleotides) under Microtus ochrogaster (prairie vole). RNAcentral describes it as "miRNA (ENSMOCG00000007099.1)". It matches the Rfam family "mir-181 microRNA precursor family". From Rfam's summary of the family: In this case the mature sequence comes from the 5' arm of the precursor. The extents of the hairpin precursors are not generally known and are estimated based on hairpin prediction. The record is from RNAcentral. Lineage: Eukaryota; Metazoa; Chordata; Mammalia; Rodentia; Cricetidae.
CCAUGGAACAUUCAACGCUGUCGGUGAGUUUGGGAUUAAAAAUGAAAAAAACCACCAACCGUUGACUGUACCUUGG